Long non-coding RNA from Anguilla anguilla (European eel), 3098 nucleotides. RefSeq lists it as uncharacterized. The record is from RefSeq and is a predicted model, not a curated record. NCBI's taxonomy places the organism in Eukaryota, Metazoa, Chordata, Actinopteri, Anguilliformes, Anguillidae. The transcript is spliced from 2 exons.
CCGAGAUAUGCAGAAGAGCAUCUCUGAACACUCAACACGUCGAACCUUGAAGCAGAUGGGCUACAGCAGCAGAAGACAACCUGGUACUAGCAAGGUGUACCUAAUAAAGUGGCAGGUGGGUAUGUAAAGUCUUGUAAAGAGGCCACCAAAAUUAAUUCAGCAGUAGGCUAUAAAAAACGAAAUGUGUGGUUAAAAAAUGGAACAACAAUGUUAACCUUUUAAUUAAUUUUACACAAAUCCGACUUUAAUUAAAUUAUUUUUAUAUAUAUUUUAUAUAUUCACUCAAAGAAUGCUUGCACAGUCCUUUUUGUGCCUGGUGUCACUUGUAGGGGAGAGUCAGAGCAAUAUGAAGUAAAAACCUGUUUCUGAAGUAAUUUUCAGGUAUAAGCCUUUAUUUUAAUUUGCAAUAGGCUAAAUUUAAUUAUGCAUCAUUUUAUUAUUUGUCCUUGAAAAGUUAGUAUGUGUUCCAGAGUGUAUUGUAGCUGGAAUUAGAUGUUUGGUGACCCAAAAAAAACAUCAUGUCCCUGUGUAACAGUUGUUAGAUAUGCUGCCUCUUCAACACAGUAGAUUCCCAAGCUUUACAUGGAGAUGGUUGGUAAAGUCAAAGAAUGUCUGAGUGAAGCUGUCAGGGUUGCACUCAGUAACGUGUGGACCUCCAGAGCAGCAGACUUGUUUGCUACUACUGUGGCACACCAUAUCAUCUGUGAUUGGAAACUUGUUUCAAGCUCUGCAAACAAGGCAAUGUAUGAAAGACAUAUGGGUGCAAAUAUGGGCAAACUGUUGUAGAGUGUGUCAGGUCAGUGGCAGCUCACAAAGAUGGUUCUGGUUACCAAUAAUGCCUGAAAUGACUUGCUGCACAGGUGGGCAACUUUGUACAUGCAAAAUGUUACACCCACGCUCUCGACUUGGCAUCUCAGCUAGCCGUUAUGCUGCCUACGGUGUCAGGACUGCUGGGGAGUGUGAGGCGUGUCACUGCCCUCUUUCAAUGCAGUACCACCGCAAAACACAUCUUGGAUCAGAAGCAGCGGCACCUGGCACUUCCAUGCCAUAAAUUGAAGACUGACGUGAGCACGAGGUGGAACAGUGCAUAUGAGAUGCUUGACCGGUUCCUUGAACUGUAAUCAGCCAUAUGCACCACUUCUCGGGUGUUUGUUUUGUUUUUUAUGUUUUAUUUAUUCACAUGAGGAAAACAUACCGACACGACAGCAGCUACAUACUGAUUGUGCCAGUGAGGGGAAAAGAAAGCCCAACGGGGCUUAUAGUACACCCUAGUACUAAUUAAUCAGUUGACGAUAGUCACAAUAAACGAUAACAGCAACAAAUGACAACAACAAAAGAGGGGACAAAAAACAGACAGUCAUACAUUUGAAAAGCAAAUGCCUUCAAGGAGGCAUGCAAGAUGAAUGGGGAAGGAAAAAGCGCAAAAAAAACAAAGCAAAAAUCCUGAAAAUAUGCCAAAAGUGUGAAUAUGUGCCGAGAAGUGAAGCUGACCUCUAGAUGCUGGGUGAAAUGGUGAAGGCCCUGAAGCCAGUGAAAGAAGCCACCACUGUCAUGUUGGAAGAGAGCACCCCCUGUGCUUUCUGUGAUUGCUCUCCUACAUGCUAAACUCCUCCAGGACUGAGGACAGCGAUGGAGAAUCUCCUGUGGCUCGCGAAAUAAAGCAAGCGACCAAUGAACACGUCAGUAAGAAAUACACCACUACUUAAGUGUACACAGACUGUGCUCCUGACCCAAUGUUCAAGGCACAACAGUUUCUUUCAGAAGAGGAGAGGGAGAUGUAUGAGAGUGAUUGCUGAAGCUGCAGCAUUAGAGAAGGCUGAUGUGAGCUGUGCUUUCUGUACUCUAUCCAGUGAGAUGUGAACAACAACAACAACAACAACAACAACCUAGAACAUGACACCCCGGAGCUGAAGCGUGAGGAAGAUGACACCCCAGGGCCAGAUGUCAUUGAGAAGUGGGAUGAAGGCCUUUCUGUCUCUAAAAGAAGGGCAUCAUAUUCACUCUUGAAUCUGCUGGAGCAGGUCUUCACUGAGUUUUGCCCCCUCAGUCAACAUGAGGGCUAAAGAGGAGGUGAAGAAAUACCAAGUGGCUCCGCCACUUCCUCUCUCCGAAGAUCCCCGCAACUGGUGUCCAUGAUGCAAUGUUUCCUGUUCCAGCCAAGUUGUCUAAGCGAUAGGUACAUGCAUUUCAGCAGAAAGAACCUUCUUCACUGGAGGGGACAUUGUGACGGCACAGUGAAGCACACUCCCACCAAAGCAUGUGGGCCAGCUGCUGUUCUUGAACAAGAAUUUGGACAUUUCUACUCUUACCAGUUCAAUGGUGCACGUGUGCACUUGCCCGUUUAAUUUUUUUAAUAUGUAAAUUGUCUUUCAGUUUUUAUUUGUUAAAAUGUUAUUUGAUUCUGUACAAGCAACAGUUUUAUUUUGUUAUGGGAACUGUCUCAGCAGUAAGAGUCUUAUCCACUGUAGACAUUGGGGCACACUUACACAGUGGGAAGUGCGUAUGGGCCAUAUUUCAUUUCAUAGUGUAUGCUACUUGAGAAUGGUGAACAUAUGCUUGCCCCAAUUAGCAAUUCAAUUUAACCUUUUAAUUGGGCCCAAAAUUAAGAAUAAGAUCAAAUCUUCUAGCAUAAUGGCACAAAUAAAACAGUGACCAUUACACCCAUGAUACGUGCAGUUGCGUUUAUCCAGUUCAGUGACAUUCCAGUUCAUAUCCAAUGUUCUUCAGGCUCACUUGCAUAGCUUUCAAAUGUAACUUACGGCUUCCUUCUAGCUGAAACUGCGGCUUAGCUAUUCUACUGCGUAUCUUACUUUCACUUUGCGUUUUCGAAUUGCGCAUGAGUGGCUUAACGUAUGCUUUAUUGGAGAUUUGUUUGUCAGCAAAUGCUUGUAGACAAAACACUGCAGUAGUGAUAACGGGUACUAUAUUGUAAAUCAUUUAUGAUUUGAUUUGAUAUUUAGUCAUUUUUCCUGUUAUGAUCUGGGUGAGAUUUGUAUGUGUGUCUGCUGUUGGUGAAAGACAUGAGUUCCCUCACUUCACACUUCCCUGUGAAAUUUCUUUGUUAGAUUUGAUAACAAAUAAAAGUGAUGCUGGGACAC